CCUACGGGAGGCAGCAGUGAGGAAUAUUGGUCAAUGGGCGCGAGCCUGAACCAGCCAAGUAGCGUGAAGGAUGACUGCCCUACGGGUUGUAAACUUCUUUUAUAAAGGAAUAAAGUGAGGCACGUGUGCCUUUUUGUAUGUACUUUAUGAAUAAGGAUCGGCUAACCCCGUGCCGGCAACCGCGGUAAUACGGAGGAUCCGAGCGUUAUCCGGAUUUAUUGUGUUUAAAGGGAGCGUAGAUGGGUUGUUAAGUCAGUUUUGAAAGUUUGCGGCUCAACCGUAAACUUGCAAUUGAUACUGGCAGCCUUGAGUACAGUUGAGGUAGGCGGAAUUCGUGGUGUAGCGGUGAAAUGCUUAGAUAUCACGAGGAACUCCGAUUGCGAAGGCAGCUUACUAAACUGCCACUGACAUUGAUGCUCGAAAGUGUGGGUAUCAAACAGGAUUAGAUACCCGUGUAGUC
RNAcentral lists this ribosomal RNA (460 nucleotides) under uncultured bacterium. RNAcentral's name for it is "partial 16S ribosomal RNA". It matches the Rfam family "Bacterial small subunit ribosomal RNA", at positions 338 to 795 of the family's 1533-position model. The record is from RNAcentral.